AAGGGAGACCUAAUUCAGGUAUGGGACGAAAAAAAAGUAGUCGCUACCAAGAAUCAAUCCCAAAAGGUCGGAACGAGGUGUGUGGCUUUCAAACUAGGUUCUGGGUUCAUAAAAGACCUGAAUCAGGAACAAGGGCUAUUAGCUCAGGUGGUUAGAGCGCACCCCUGAUAAGGGUGAGGUCCCUGGUUCGAGUCCAGGAUGGCCCACCUGCACAGGUGGCAAAAACAAGAGAAGCGAGGAAUCAGCACCUUAUCUUACUGACAUAGUAAGAGAGAAUGCUGGCUCUGAGUAAAGAGUCCAGAGGAACCUUGAAAACUGCAUAGAGCUAGGUGAAAAAGCCAAAAAAGAAGACCGCAA
RNAcentral lists this transfer RNA (357 nucleotides) under Microcystis sp. BG74. Its description in RNAcentral is "16S-23S ribosomal RNA intergenic spacer". The stretch from base 133 to 206 matches the Rfam family "tRNA". The record is from RNAcentral. Lineage: Bacteria; Bacillati; Cyanobacteriota; Cyanophyceae; Chroococcales; Microcystaceae.